UCUCUUUACACGUGAAAAAUUAUUUUCCCUAUAAAGAAGAGAAUGAUUCAAUUUUAAGUUGAGGGACUGUCGUGUUAUAAUUAUAUAAGUUCAGGGACGAUUGUUAAAAUUUAUCCUAGUUUAUACACAAACUCAAGAAGGGGGUUGUAAAGUUAGACAAAAUUUAAAGACAUUACCAAUACAUUGUCUUUUAAAAGACCUCCAGCACCCCAUGAUAGCACCUUU
Molecule: unclassified non-coding RNA, 225 nt
Filed under: Hevea brasiliensis (rubber tree)
Lineage: Eukaryota; Viridiplantae; Streptophyta; Magnoliopsida; Malpighiales; Euphorbiaceae
Source: RNAcentral